This 889-nucleotide ribosomal RNA is filed under the name Salmonella enterica subsp. enterica. RNAcentral describes it as "bacterial LSU rRNA". It matches the Rfam family "Bacterial large subunit ribosomal RNA", at positions 58 to 985 of the family's 2925-position model. Lineage: Bacteria; Pseudomonadati; Pseudomonadota; Gammaproteobacteria; Enterobacterales; Enterobacteriaceae. The record is from RNAcentral.
GUGCUAAUCUGCGAUAAGCGCCGGUAAGGUGAUAUGAACCGUUAUAACCGGCGAUACCCGAAUGGGGAAACCCAGUGUGAUUCGUCACACUAUCAUUAACUGAAUCCAUAGGUUAAUGAGGCGAACCGGGGGAACUGAAACAUCUAAGUACCCCGAGGAAAAGAAAUCAACCGAGAUUCCCCCAGUAGCGGCGAGCGAACGGGGAGGAGCCCAGAGCCUGAAUCAGCAUGUGUGUUAGUGGAAGCGUCUGGAAAGGCGCGCGAUACAGGGUGACAGCCCCGUACACAAAAGCGCAUGUGCUGUGAGCUCGAUGAGUAGGGCGGGACACGUGGUAUCCUGUCUGAAUAUGGGGGGACCAUCCUCCAAGGCUAAAUACUCCUGACUGACCGAUAGUGAACCAGUACCGUGAGGGAAAGGCGAAAAGAACCCCGGCGAGGGGAGUGAAAAAGAACCUGAAACCGUGUACGUACAAGCAGUGGGAGCCCCGAUUUAGCAGGGUGACUGCGUACCUUUUGUAUAAUGGGUCAGCGACUUAUAUUCUGUAGCAAGGUUAACCGUAUAGGGGAGCCGUAGGGAAACCGAGUCUUAACUGGGCGUUAAGUUGCAGGGUAUAGACCCGAAACCCGGUGAUCUAGCCAUGGGCAGGUUGAAGGUUGGGUAACACUAACUGGAGGACCGAACCGACUAAUGUUGAAAAAUUAGCGGAUGACCUGUGGCUGGGGGUGAAAGGCCAAUCAAACCGGGAGAUAGCUGGUUCUCCCCGAAAGCUAUUUAGGUAGCGCCUCGUGAAUUCAUCUCCGGGGGUAGAGCACUGUUUCGGCUAGGGGGCCAUCCCGGCUUACCAACCCGAUGCAAACUGCGAAUACCGGAGAAUGUUAUCACGGGAGAC